AUUGAACGCUGGCGGCAGGCCUAACACAUGCAAGUCGAACGGUAACAGGAAACACCUUGCUGUUUCGCUGUCGAGUGGCGGGCGGGUGUGUCAUGUCUGUGAAACAGCCUGAUGGAGGGGGAUAACUACUGGAAACGGUAGCUAAUACCGCAUAUCGUCGCAAGACCAAAGAGGGGGACCCUCGGGCCUCUUGCCAUCGGAUGUGCCCUGAUGGGAUUAGCUUGUUGGUGGGGUAACGGCUCACCAAGGCGACGAUCCCUAGCUGGUCUGAGAGGAUGACCAGCCACACUGGAACUGAGACACGGUCCAGACUCCUACGGGAGGCAGCAGUGGGGAAUAUUGCACAAUGGGCGCAAGCCUGAUGCAGCCAUGCCGCGUGUAUGAAGAAGGCCUUCGGGUUGUAAAGUACUUUCAGCGGGGAGGAAGGGAGGAAAGUUAAUACCUUUGCUCAUUGACGUUACCCGCAGAAGAAGCAACGGCUAACUCCGUG
Molecule: ribosomal RNA, 490 nt
Filed under: uncultured bacterium
Lineage: Bacteria
Description: partial 16S ribosomal RNA
Rfam family: Bacterial small subunit ribosomal RNA
Source: RNAcentral